This 78-nucleotide small RNA is filed under the name Arabidopsis thaliana (thale cress). RNAcentral describes it as "ATSL026000". Lineage: Eukaryota; Viridiplantae; Streptophyta; Magnoliopsida; Brassicales; Brassicaceae. The record is from RNAcentral.
AAACACGAUAUCAACUUCUCAUCUACAAGAGUUCAACAUGAAACUCCGGCGAACGAUGAGGAAUGAUUCUCUCUGAGA